This is a non-coding RNA of Spinacia oleracea (spinach), 107 nucleotides long. The record is from Rfam. NCBI's taxonomy places the organism in Eukaryota, Viridiplantae, Streptophyta, Magnoliopsida, Caryophyllales, Amaranthaceae.
AAUCCCUUGGUGAGGGCACUCCCUUUGAUAUUCCUUGAACCGAUCCCAAGCCUCAAAUAGAGACUCAUCCCGCUUUUGCUCAAAUGAUUGGAUCUUAUGACGAUACU